UACAGAGGUCUCAAGCGUUGUUCGGAUUCAUUGGGCGUAAAGGGUGCGUAGGCGGCGCGGUAAGUCGGGUGUGAAAUCUCGGAGCUUAACUCCGAAACUGCAUUCGAUACUGCCGUGCUUGAGGACUGGAGAGGAGACUGGAAUUUACGGUGUAGCGGUGAAAUGCGUAGAUAUCGUAAGGAAGACCAGUGGCGAAGGCGGCUUCCUGGCCUGUUCUUGACGCUGAGGCGCGAAAGCUAGGGGAGCAAACGGG
RNAcentral lists this ribosomal RNA (253 nucleotides) under uncultured bacterium. RNAcentral describes it as "partial 16S ribosomal RNA". It matches the Rfam family "Bacterial small subunit ribosomal RNA", at positions 524 to 776 of the family's 1533-position model. The record is from RNAcentral.